This 183-nucleotide ribosomal RNA is filed under the name uncultured bacterium. RNAcentral's name for it is "partial 16S ribosomal RNA". It matches the Rfam family "Bacterial small subunit ribosomal RNA", at positions 338 to 524 of the family's 1533-position model. The record is from RNAcentral.
CCUACGGGAGGCAGCAGUGAGGAAUAUUGGUCAAUGGGCGAAAGCCUGAACCAGCCAAGUAGCGUGCAGGAUGACGGCCCUAUGGGUUGUAAACUGCUUUUAGGCGGGGGUAGAGUGCCGGACGCGUUCCGGUAUUGCAAGUACCGCCAGAAAAAGGACCGGUAAUCCAGCAGCCGCGGUAAU